GACGAACGCUGGCGGCGUGCUUAACACAUGCAAGUCGAACGGAAAGGCCCUGCUUUUGUGGGGUGCUCGAGUGGCGAACGGGUGAGUAACACGUGAGUAACCUGCCCUUGACUUUGGGAUAACUUCAGGAAACUGGGGCUAAUACCGGAUAGGAGCUCCUGCUGCGUGGUGGGGGUUGGAAAGUUUCGGCGGUUGGGGAUGGACUCGCGGCUUAUCAGCUUGUUGGUGGGGUAGUGGCUUACCAAGGCUUUGACGGGUAGCCGGCCUGAGAGGGUGACCGGCCACAUUGGGACUGAGAUACGGCCCAGACUCCUACGGGGGGCAGCAGUGGGGAAUAUUGCACAAUGGGCGGAAGCCUGAUGCAGCAACGCCGCGUGCGGGAUGACGGCCUUCGGGUUGUAAACCGCUUUCGCCUGUGACGAAGCGCGAGUGACGGUAAUGGGUAAAGAAGCACCGGCUAACUACGUG
RNAcentral lists this ribosomal RNA (468 nucleotides) under uncultured bacterium. RNAcentral describes it as "partial 16S ribosomal RNA". It matches the Rfam family "Bacterial small subunit ribosomal RNA", at positions 28 to 507 of the family's 1533-position model. The record is from RNAcentral.